Molecule: long non-coding RNA, 199 nt
Filed under: Elaeis guineensis (African oil palm)
Lineage: Eukaryota; Viridiplantae; Streptophyta; Magnoliopsida; Arecales; Arecaceae
Description: long non-coding RNA (EGUI_LNC052499)
Source: RNAcentral
UACAUAUGGAUGUUUGAAGACCAAUAAUAUCUCGAUCUAGAGAUGGACACCACAUAUGAGAUAUGGUGUGUUCCUUAAUUUACUUUACAAAUUUUAUUGUCUCUUUCUGAAAAUAUGCCCUAAAAAUUAUUGUAUGUAUUUUGAAUGAGAUACCAUCAAAAUCUGUUACUAGCACUCCAUAUGAGAUAUGAAAAAGGCA